Molecule: transfer RNA, 93 nt
Filed under: Thermoactinomyces sp. AS95
Lineage: Bacteria; Bacillati; Bacillota; Bacilli; Caryophanales; Thermoactinomycetaceae
Also listed under: 1 other name
Description: tRNA-Ser
Rfam family: tRNA
About the family: Transfer RNA (tRNA) molecules are approximately 80 nucleotides in length. Their secondary structure includes four short double-helical elements and three loops (D, anti-codon, and T loops). Further hydrogen bonds mediate the characteristic L-shaped molecular structure. tRNAs have two regions of fundamental functional importance: the anti-codon, which is responsible for specific mRNA codon recognition, and the 3' end, to which the tRNAs corresponding amino acid is attached (by aminoacyl-tRNA synthetases). tRNAs cope with the degeneracy of the genetic code in two manners: having more than one tRNA (with a specific anti-codon) for a particular amino acid; and 'wobble' base-pairing, i.e. permitting non-standard base-pairing at the 3rd anti-codon position.
Source: RNAcentral
GGAGAGGUGUCCGAGUGGUUUAAGGAGGCGGUCUCGAAAACCGUUGUGCGGGAAUUCCCCGUACCGUGGGUUCGAAUCCCACCCUCUCCGCCA